CGCGCCACCCUGUUGAUCUCCAGCUUCGAUGCAACCAGAUCAAGUAUAAAAUAUGUCAAGUGGCAAACAAAAGACAGGCAUGUCGUUUGGUCGCCGAUGUUCCUCCUGCCCUCACACAGUGCCCUGGCUGUCCGGCUAACUUGAAGCAGCUAACCUGCUAACGUUAGCUGGCUCUGAUCAAUACUAAAUCAAACAAAGUUUUCUUCAACAAACAACUUCGUUGUGGGGCAUGCUGCAAGGAGGCACGAGGACUGCAGAUGUGGCCAGGGCAAUAAAUUGCAAUGUCCGUACUGCGAGACGCCGAAGACAGCGCUACAGGGAGACAGGACGGACAGCUGACCAACCUCGCAGUGGCAGACCACAUGUAACAAC
This is a long non-coding RNA of Oncorhynchus masou masou (cherry salmon), 372 nucleotides long. RefSeq lists it as uncharacterized. The record is from RefSeq and is a predicted model, not a curated record. NCBI's taxonomy places the organism in Eukaryota, Metazoa, Chordata, Actinopteri, Salmoniformes, Salmonidae. The transcript is spliced from 3 exons.